This 285-nucleotide long non-coding RNA is filed under the name Lathyrus oleraceus (garden pea). RNAcentral describes it as "Pisum sativum (pea) long non-coding RNA (PSAT_LNC004944)". Lineage: Eukaryota; Viridiplantae; Streptophyta; Magnoliopsida; Fabales; Fabaceae. The record is from RNAcentral.
CGUCUCUGCUCUUGGUGCAUUUUUUCUUUUCCAGCCGUGCAAGCAAUAUUUUUACAGCAUUGUUUUUAUAGUUUUUAUUUUUAUUUGCAAUUCCUAUUUUCUUUUCCAGCAAUUCCUUUAAGCACUUAAUUACUUUUUCACACAAUAGUUUCCACACCGGAAAUUAUUGUGUACCUUUUACUAGAUCCAACCUUACGUUAGAUCCUAGAUUUUUAUUCCUUCAUUUUUAUUUAUCUGUCCGAUUGAAGAAUUCAAGAACAAAUCCAACCAGUCUGUGGUGGAGUG